Molecule: ribosomal RNA, 403 nt
Filed under: Staphylococcus epidermidis
Lineage: Bacteria; Bacillati; Bacillota; Bacilli; Caryophanales; Staphylococcaceae
Description: bacterial SSU rRNA
Rfam family: Bacterial small subunit ribosomal RNA
Source: RNAcentral
CGGCGGACGGGUGAGUACACGUGGAUAACCUACCUAUAAGACUGGGAUAACUUCGGGAAACCGGAGCUAAUACCGGAUAAUAUAUUGAACCGCAUGGUUCAAUAGUGAAAGACGGUUUUGCUGUCACUUAUAGAUGGAUCCGCGCCGCAUUAGCUAGUUGGUAAGGUAACGGCUUACCAAGGCAACGAUGCGUAGCCGACCUGAGAGGGUGAUCGGCCACACUGGAACUGAGACACGGUCCAGACUCCUACGGGAGGCAGCAGUAGGGAAUCUUCCGCAAUGGGCGAAAGCCUGACGGAGCAACGCCGCGUGAGUGAUGAAGGUCUUCGGAUCGUAAAACUCUGUUAUUAGGGAAGAACAAAUGUGUAAGUAACUAUGCACGUCUUGACGGUACCUAAUCAGA